UAUACAGUAGCCCUACAGAUACUGAUGUGCGUUUAGCAAUGUACAUCUGGUAUGACUUAUCUAUGGACAAUUUAGCAAAUUAGACUAAUGAAUUACAACUUCACUGUCAGUCUUUAGUGCAGCAGGGUUGCAAUGAGAUGGCUGUCACCCCAAGGGAGUGGAGAUUGGAGUUUAGGAUUGGAAGCCAGCUAAGCAAAAUAAGACCUGUGCCAUGUGUAGACCCACAAGACCAUGUCCUUGUCACUCUCCACCUGACCCACAAUGCCCCACUGUACACUGGCAUGGAGAGUCCUGAGGACCGCUGCUUUGUGAUGCACAGAAAACCAACAUGAAAACUGUUUUGACCACACCUAGUAUUCACACAUUCCAUAAUGAAAAACAGAAAGCAUGCAUAGCUACCAUAAAACUUUGAAAAGAAAAAGAGAUCAGUC
Long non-coding RNA from Trachemys scripta elegans, 431 nucleotides. RefSeq lists it as uncharacterized. The record is from RefSeq and is a predicted model, not a curated record. NCBI's taxonomy places the organism in Eukaryota, Metazoa, Chordata, Testudines, Emydidae. The transcript is spliced from 3 exons.